RNAcentral lists this ribosomal RNA (468 nucleotides) under uncultured bacterium. RNAcentral describes it as "partial 16S ribosomal RNA". It matches the Rfam family "Bacterial small subunit ribosomal RNA", at positions 28 to 507 of the family's 1533-position model. The record is from RNAcentral.
GACGAACGCUGGCGGCGUGCUUAACACAUGCAAGUCGAACGGAAAGGCCCUGCUUUUGUGGGGUGCCCGAGUGGCGAACGGGUGAGUAACACGUGAGUAACCUGCCCUUGACUUUGGGAUAACUUCAGGAAACUGGGGCUAAUACCGGAUAGGAGCUCCUGCUGCAUGGUGGGGGUUGGAAAGUUUCGGCGGUUGGGGAUGGACUCGCGGCUUAUCAGCUUGUUGGUGGGGGAGUGGCUUACCCAGGCUUUGACGGGUAGCCGGCCUGGGAGGGUGACCGGCCACAAUAGGCCUGAGAUACGGCGCAGACUCGUACGGGAGGCAGCAGUGGGGAGUAUUGCACAGUGGGCGCGAGCCUGAUACGGCGGCGCCGCGUGCGGGAUGACGGCCUUCGGGUUGUGAACCGCUUUCGCCUGUGACGAAGCGUGAGUGACGGUAAUGGGUAAAGAAGCACCGGCUAACUACGUG